Long non-coding RNA from Nerophis ophidion (straightnose pipefish), 813 nucleotides. RefSeq lists it as uncharacterized. The transcript is spliced from 2 exons. Lineage: Eukaryota; Metazoa; Chordata; Actinopteri; Syngnathiformes; Syngnathidae. The record is from RefSeq and is a predicted model, not a curated record.
AACAGGCAAUUUCUGAGGUAACAGCAGAAAGAUUUUUUUGAUCAGGGAUCUUAUGUUUAAAAAACUAUAUUAUAGGUAGUGGGCUGUUUUAGGGAAUUUUUGAUCAAAUUAUCCGUAGUAGCAAUAUUAAUAAUGUUGUGUUUAUUCUGCGUAGUGGACUUAAAAUAAUUAUGACCAUAUCUGUUUGCUUGGUGCUUUGAUAAACUGAACGCAUAUACAUGGUACUAUAUUGUAAUGUUAUGAGCCAGGGGAAAAAAGAACUACCCUACCCAGCAUGCAACAGGAGUGAGGAGCAUGUAUAGGUUGUGUCGCCAUGACGGCAUCUUGUAUGUUGUGAUAUGCAGGCUCUGAAAGCAAAUGUUAAGAACUCAGCCAACACUCCUCGUCUGCAUUAUUGAUAAAUAGACAGACAACACAUAUACUCCGCUGCUUCACAAAGCACAAUAUGUUAAAUGUUUACUUUUACAGUUUUCUAAUUCUUCCCUUCAGAUUGACAGCAGGACAAAUCGCUGGAAGUGGGUAUGUCUCAAGCUUCUUCCACUUGGUCCACUCCAAAGCGGGCUGCAAAGGGGAAGAAGUGGAAGCAGUUGAAUGACACAUGUUGCAUUUUGUAACUGGCAACAAAGUACCAGGUAAAAAAGAUUGUGAAGCCUGCCUCCAUAAAGAACUAGUAGCUCUACAGGACAGAGAUUGGCUUGCCAUCAAGUACUACAUCCAUAACAGAAUUAUAUUAAAAAAAGGGGAAAAAAAUGUUUUCCCACAUCUUCUGUGGUAGUUUGAGUAUGUUACCAGCAAUUAAAAAAGCAAAAUAAA